UGCAGUCGAACGGAAACGAUGGAAGCUUGCUUCCAGGCGUCGAGUGGCGGACGGGUGAGUAACGCGUAGGAAUCUGCCUGAUAGUGGGGGAUAGCCCGGAGAAAUCCGGAUUAAUACCGCAUAGUCUAUUCGUAGUAAAGGGGGCCUCUAUUUAUAAGCUCUCGCUAUCAGAUGAGCCUGCGUCAGAUUAGCUUGUUGGUGAGGUAAAAGCUCACCAAGGCAACGAUCUGUAGCUGGUCUGAGAGGAUGAUCAGCCACACUGGGACUGAGACACGGCCCAGACUCCUACGGGAGGCAGCAGUGGGGAAUAUUGGACAAUGGGGGCAACCCUGAUCCAGCAAUGCCGCGUGUGUGAAGAAGGCCUGAGGGUUGUAAAGCACUUUCAAUUGUGAAGAAAGGUUAAUAGUUAAUACCUAUUGACUGUGACGUUAACUUUAGAAGAAGCACCGGCUAACUCCGUGCCAGCAGCCGCGGUAAUACGGAGAGUGCAAGCGUUAAUCGGAAUUACUGGGCGUAAAGCGUGCGUAGGUGGUUGUUUAAGUCAGAUGUGAAAGCCCCGGGCUUAACCUGGGAACUGCAUUUGAAACUGGAUAACUAGAGUAUAGUAGAGGAAAGUAGAAUUUCUGGUGUAGCGGUGAAAUGCGUAGAUAUCAGAA
This 656-nucleotide ribosomal RNA is filed under the name uncultured Gammaproteobacteria bacterium. RNAcentral describes it as "bacterial SSU rRNA". It matches the Rfam family "Bacterial small subunit ribosomal RNA", at positions 56 to 702 of the family's 1533-position model. The record is from RNAcentral. Lineage: Bacteria; Pseudomonadati; Pseudomonadota; Gammaproteobacteria.